Long non-coding RNA from Parambassis ranga (Indian glassy fish), 574 nucleotides. The record is from Ensembl. Lineage: Eukaryota; Metazoa; Chordata; Actinopteri; Ambassidae.
ACAAGGUUUGCGGUUGAAGCAACUUGACAUGAUCACUGAGGGGAUAGCUGCAAGCUCCAGGACAUUAACAAGAAUGGCAAAAGUACUCAGAAAGGUUUGCAUCGCUGCCCUCAAGUGACUGAGGAAAAGAGGAAUGAGGAUUGGUGGUCGUCAUUGUUUUGUUGUUAUCGACGAGAGCAAAUUUGCCCACAAGCAAAAGUACCAUCGUGGUUGAUGCGGCAACACUUGGCACCGUGAGCGGCAGUGGGUCUUUGGGAUGCUGGAGGUUGAUGGGAAUUCUAGAAGACCCAUUCUGAGACUUGAUCGCACAAGGCAAACCCUUAUAGGCAAAAUUAGACGCCAUAUCAGACCCAGAACAUCCAUCCUCACUGAUGAGUGGCGUGCCUACAAGGGGCAACUUGCAAAGUAUGGAUAUGGGAAUGACCAUUGCAGCAGCAUGUGCUCCUCCGGGAGGGGGGCGCAACCCUGUGACCCCCAGAUUCAUUCGCCACUUCAGCAUGCUGUGUCUGCCAACACCCUCGGAACACAGCCUCAAGCAGAUCUUCAAAGCCAUCCUUUGCGGUUUCCUGAGUGA